CCUACGGGGUGCAGCAGUGAGGAAUAUUGGUCAAUGGCCGCAGGGCUGAACCAGCCAAGUCGCGUGAGGGAUGACGGUCCUAUGGAUUGUAAACCUCUUUUGUCAGGGAGCAAAGGGCGCCACGUGUGGCGCUUUGCGAGUACCUGAAGAAAAAGCAUCGGCUAACUCCGUGCCAGCAGCCGCGGUAAUACGGAGGAUGCGAGCGUUAUCCGGAUUUAUUGGGUUUAAAGGGUGCGCAGGCGGAAUGUCAAGUCAGCGGUAAAAUUUCGGGGCUCAACCCCGUCGUGCCGUUGAAACUGGCGUUCUUGAGUGAGCGAGAAGUAUGCGGAAUGCGUGGUGUAGCGGUGAAAUGCAUAGAUAUUAGGAGGAACACCAGUGGCGAAGGCGGUCUGCUGGACAGCAACUGACGGUGAGGCGCGAAAGCGUGGGGAGCAAACAGGAUUAGAUACCCCAGUAGUC
This 459-nucleotide ribosomal RNA is filed under the name uncultured bacterium. RNAcentral's name for it is "partial 16S ribosomal RNA". It matches the Rfam family "Bacterial small subunit ribosomal RNA", at positions 338 to 795 of the family's 1533-position model. The record is from RNAcentral.